This is a long non-coding RNA of Dreissena polymorpha, 398 nucleotides long. RefSeq lists it as uncharacterized. Lineage: Eukaryota; Metazoa; Mollusca; Bivalvia; Myida; Dreissenidae. The record is from RefSeq and is a predicted model, not a curated record. The transcript has 3 exons.
AGACGUUUGUAAUAUCAUUGAAAGCUUUCACAAGAGAAUGACAAUUAUGAGGGUUUAUUUAGCGUAGCUGUUGUCUGGAAUCAAUGUUUUCACAACCAGUUUAGUUCAGUUCAGGGAACAACAGGAGCAGAAUGUAACAAUGAGACCUUCUUACGAUGGCAGUCAGAGAAUGGGUCGACCUCGUUUUCAUAUUCCCAAGGAACAGCUGGAGCUUCAACUUGAACUCAGAUUUACUGAUGCUGAUAUUGCUAAUAUGAUUGGUGUUAGCAUUUCAGUCAUCAAACGUCGUUUAAGAGAAUAUGGUCUGGGUCGUCAAAAUCAGUAUACCACUAUAUCCAACGAGGACUUGGACACGCAUGUUCUCAGAUUGACACAUGGCAAUCCACUUCUGGGCCAAC